Molecule: long non-coding RNA, 1424 nt
Filed under: Homo sapiens (human)
Lineage: Eukaryota; Metazoa; Chordata; Mammalia; Primates; Hominidae
Description: HSALNT0300311
Source: RNAcentral
AGGCUCGCCCAGGCCCGGCCGCCGGCCCGCGCGCACCUGCAGACGCUGCACGUCUUAAGUUUCGAGUGAUUUGGGGAAGGAAAGAGGACCGAGAAGAAAAGAAAAGGGCUCGGGGGGGGGGGGGGGUGGGCGGGUGAGGGGCGGAGGAGAGGACGAAGGAAAAAAGCCGGGAGAGGGAGAAGAAAGAAAUCUUCCUUUUGCAAAAGGAGGCAUAAUGUGGCUUAGAGGUUGCCAAAGCAAAAGGUUUUGCUUUAUUUUGUUUUUGCAACCGAGGCGUUCAGGGUGGGGCUGGCGCGAGGGAAGGGUGGAUGGGGAGAAGGUCACUGUCUUAGCACAUGGCGAGAUUUAUUUACUCCUUUGGAUUAUUUCGGUUUCUCGCCGAAUGGCUUUGAUCCUGGAUUCCUAAAAAUACCUUUGAAAGAUUGAAAGACUCGCCCCGCCCCCCCAACCUCCACACCGUCUUACUGCCUAACUCCUCGGAACCCUCGGAGGUUGCGCAUAAACAAUUUUUUCUUCCAGAACGGCCCCCCUCUCCGCCCUGGGGGAGCCGGGAGGAUGUGCAGCCCCAGUCCUCCUGCUCGGCGGAGCCUCGCGCGCGCAGAGCCUAGCGCGAUUCGCGCCCUCAUUACUACUACAAAGCGCGGGCCAGACCAAUCCCCUUUCUAAUGCACCAUUUUCGACUGAGAACAUCAAGAGGCCAGAAACUUCCAAGUCAGCUUGCAGACGCAGACGCCUCCUGGGGUCCUGGCUUUAAGAACCAGAUGCCAACACUCCCGGACAGUUUAUGGCAUCCGGAUCCCUCAAGGGUGCUCAUCUGCAGUUGAGAGUGAUUCUGUGUGAAGAAUACAGAGACAGACGUUCCAUUUCAAAGAAAAAAGAGCAACACGAAGGCCCUCUUUAAGGAGAGAGUAAACAUUCACUUUAGGUAAAAAAUAGUCUUUUACACGCCUGUGCACGGCACACCUCUUUUGCUGUUCACCUUGAGCCCAAGAGUUUGGAAAGGCUGCCCCCAUUUCAGAGAGGAAGAAACGCAGGCACACGUGAAUGACAGACUCCUCUGUGGUGGCCUAGACUCCAGCCAACACUUCCUAGGACAGCCUGCCAUUGUGCAAAGUCACCAUGUAACAAAUGCAGACAUCUCUGAGAUCACCAUGCAGUGAGGAAGUCUAAGCUGGUGGCAUGAAGAGGCCACAUGGAAAGGGCUAAAAAAGGGGCCAGCCUCAGUCAUCCCAGCUGAGCACCUGGCUGGGAAUAAAAGAGGACUCCGUGGAUGUUUACUCCAGGAGCUUCAGUGGUGCAUGCUGAAUGUGCUGUUUCUUGGGCUGGGGGACAGAGAUGUGCAUGCUGUUAUACACUCUAUAUUGAAAUGAUUGUAUAACAAUAUACUAAUUUAUCAUGUAAUAAAUUUGACCAGAAAGAAACAA